GACAUAGGAGAGAUGAGAGACUGAGUGAAAGAGAGGGGUGUUGUACAUACAUCUAUGGGCUCAUCAGAAGGUUUGGACAGUUCUAAAUAUAGGGCUGGACACCGAGACGUAUCUGACAUGGAGACUAUGGCGCAUGACGGCGUAGUCUACAUGGAAAGAUAGGAACUAGUCGAGGAUUAGGAGAAGUACUUGUAGUAGUAAGAGUAGAACUACUCUAGUCGUAUUCGAC
Molecule: long non-coding RNA, 229 nt
Filed under: Setaria italica (foxtail millet)
Lineage: Eukaryota; Viridiplantae; Streptophyta; Magnoliopsida; Poales; Poaceae
Description: long non-coding RNA (SITA_LNC004505)
Source: RNAcentral